This 465-nucleotide ribosomal RNA is filed under the name uncultured bacterium. RNAcentral describes it as "partial 16S ribosomal RNA". It matches the Rfam family "Bacterial small subunit ribosomal RNA", at positions 338 to 795 of the family's 1533-position model. The record is from RNAcentral.
CCUACGUGUGGCAGCAGUAGGGAAUCUUCGGCAAUGGACGAAAUUCUGACCGAGCAACGCCGCGUGAGUGAAGAAGGUUUUCGGAUCGUAAAACUCUGUUGGUAGAGAAGAACGUUGGUGAGAGUGUCAAGCUCAUCAAGUGACGGUAACUCCCCAGAAAUGGACGGCUAACUACGUGCCAGCAGCCGCGGUAAUCCGUAGGUCCCGAGCGUUGUCCGGAUUUAUUGGGCGUAAAGCGGGCGCAGGUGUUUGAUUAAGUCUGGUGUAAAAGGCAGUGGCUCAACCAUUGUAUGCAUUGGAAACUGGUAGACUGGAGUGCAGGAGAGGAGAGUGGAAGUCCAUGUGGAGCGGUGAAAUGCGUAGAGAUAGGGAGGAACACCGGUGGCGAAAGCGGCUCUCUGGCCUGUAACUGACACUGAGGCUCGAAAGCGUGGGGAGCAAACAGGAUUAGAGACCCGUGUAGUC